This is a long non-coding RNA of Astatotilapia calliptera (eastern happy), 1430 nucleotides long. The record is from Ensembl. NCBI's taxonomy places the organism in Eukaryota, Metazoa, Chordata, Actinopteri, Cichliformes, Cichlidae.
CUCCGCAUCGAAAGGAGCCAGCUGAGGUGGUUCGGGCAUCUGACAAGGAUGCCCCCUGGGCGCCUCCUGGGUGAGGUGUUCCAGGCAUGUCCCACCGGGAGGAGGCCCCGGGGCAGACCCAGGACACGCUGGAGAGAUUAUAUCUCUCGGCUGGCCUGGGAACGCCUUGGUGUUCCCCCGGAUAAGCUGGAGGAGGUGGCUGGGGAGAGGGAGGUCUGGGCCUCUUUGCUUAGGCUGCUGCCCCCGCGACCCGGCUCCGGAUAAAGCGGAUGAAGAUGGAUGGAUGGAAGCGCGUCCAUGCUCACAGGUGUACACACGGGUGAUCACACCCACAAACUACACCCUUUUUGGCUCCUACCUCAAAGCACACUGUGUUCUGUUGAUCCUAUGUGCUGCACAAUAAUGUUUAAUAUUUAGUAUUUACUGUCAUAUUCCCAUAUAUCAUUGUGAUGUUGUUUAUUCUAUUACUCUUGUUCUCUUCUGCUUGUUUUCUUUUUUCUUUCUCAACAGGUGAUCCAGGUGAUCGAUAGAUGCAUUUUUUUUUCUUUUUCUGCCCAUUCUGUUGGUUUUUGUUUUUUUGCCCUUCUCCCCUAUCCCUCUUCUCAGCUCUUUCUCUUUCUUUCUCCCCUUCUUUCCCCCAGUCAAGUCUGUCCCGUAUUCAACAAGUGAAAAUAAAAUAAACAAUAAAAGGUGAAUCAAAUGGACCAUUACGGCAAGGCUGGGAUGGUCAAUUUGGUAAAGUAAAUCCGUUGGGCAUCUUUCUUUGCCUUUAGACAAUAAUUCUGAUGGCAAAAGAGCCAAACGGGACAGGCAAAAAAAAAAAAAAAAGUCCUCUCUCCUCAACAUCUCUAUACCACCACAGAUAUGUCAUGUGGACCAACUGCCUUUCCUCUCUUCAUAGCUGCCUUCACUUCCUCCUUACUUAUCCCCUGCGCUUCCUGAUUCACUAACUUUCCUCCAUCUGUCCUCAGUUUCUGUCUUUAUUAAUGUCUUCAUUAAUGAAGACAGUGAGAGAAUACUUCUAUCUUCCAUCUUCUCAACACACUCUCUUCACCAUCUUUAUCCUUAAUCACUCUAACCUGCUGCACAUCCUUUUCAGCUCAAUCUCUGUAUAGCUAAUUCAUGCAAGUACUGUUCUCCUUCCUUAGUACCCAGCCUCACGUACAACUCAGUAUAAGCUUUUUCCUUUGCCACCUCUAUCUUUGCAGUUGGCCUGGCCUCCCAGUAUUCCUGUCUACUUUUAUCCAUCUCCCCUGACUAUCGCACUUUCUCUUAGCUAUUCCUUUGAGGAACUACAGGAAAGUGUCCAAUCCACCACCAAGUCUCCUUGUCCUCUUUUCUCUCUCCAAAAGAUACACCAAACACCUUCUUUGCCUUUCUCUCACCAUUUCAGUUGUAUUUUUCCAGUCAUCUGGUAACACUUCCCUUCC